UUUCGGUACUCCAUAUCUUGCGUAUAGGUCAGUAUGUGCUUUAAUCAAGUGUCCAUAAGUUAAUAAUGAGCAUAUCAUAUGCAAGAUCAACUUGCAGGUCAUUUGAUUUAAAAACAUAAGAUACGGAAUCUCAAAGUGAAACAAAGUCAUAGGCCUCGACUUUGAGAAUCAACGUAUGAAAUAUAUGGAAAAACUAGAGUGUGAAGAUUGAUUCAGAGAUCUCCACAAAGCAUGCAAAGUAUAGUUGGAAAUAUUAUUCGAUCUAAAGUGUAAAAUAUUUUCAUUUCCAAGUCAAAAAACAUUUUCACUUGGAAAUCUUAACAUAAUCACCAGUAAGAAGGUAAACAUACAUGAUCCUUUAUUACAUAAUCAUCACAUCUAUUUCCAAACUAAAUCUUGGAUAUGACAAACACAAAACAUAAAUCAAUUAUCCAAAACAAAUUUACAAAUCACAUGUUGACAAAAUCACAAUUUCAAUAGAGUAUCAAAACGAUCAACAGGUUAUGGAAGCGGACUAAUUCAACCUCUCAAAAAUCAUAAAUCACAAGUUUUUAGAUAUUCAUAAAAUCAUGUAUUUACUGUUCACAAUGGCUCAAAUCAUUAUUCACGGACCGUAGUCACUGGAUGGAAAGAGAAAUUGCUACAUUAAAACUGUUGAUGUUCUGACCUUGUCACUUUUUUAGGGCUUAAAUUGCAAUUGGCGAUCAGCUGGAGAGGACUCGAAGCAAGUGCCAAACACGAGAGGCAGGAGCGGGCUCAAUCAUUUCCAAUUUUUCUUUCCCAGAUCGUCUACUAUUUUGUUGAUUGCAAUUAUCCCUUUCCAAUCAAACGUUUGUCGGCAGGAUGGACUCAGCGAACAGUUUUUCGCCACUUUUUACGGGGUUUUCCUUCAGUGUUAGGUAAUGAGAGAUAGGAGAUGGGAGGUUCCUCUCGUAAAAGUUUCUUCCCAAUCGUUGAAAGGCGAGCAUGAGGAAGUGAAGAAUGGGUUUUCAAUCAUCAAGUAAGUGGAUUUUGCUUCAGCUUUGGUAAUGGGACUAUGGGAGGUUUUGGGUUCGUCAAUUUUUGGUAUAUGAAAAUUUCAAGUAUUUAUUGGGUGGUGAUUGAAGGUAAGAUUUUUAUCAUUUUUUGAACAACUUUUUUCACUUUUUGUACAACUUCUUUAUGUUGUCAGAUCAAUGACAUGUAGGGUAUUUAAAUUCUAUAGAGGUGCAAAAAUGUCAAAAAUUGAAAAUCUUACAAAGACUUUAAAUGAAGUGACAUUUUUGUAAUUGUAAAGCUAGAAAUUGACAUCUA
RNAcentral lists this long non-coding RNA (1293 nucleotides) under Olea europaea subsp. europaea. Lineage: Eukaryota; Viridiplantae; Streptophyta; Magnoliopsida; Lamiales; Oleaceae. The record is from RNAcentral.